ACUCCUACGGGAGGCAGCAGUGGGGGAUAUUGCACAAUGGAGGAAACUCUGAUGCAGCGACGCCGCGUGAGGGAAGAAGGUCUUCGGAUUGUAAACCUCUGUCUUCGGGGACGAACAAAUGACGGUACCCGAGGAGGAAGCCACGGCUAACUACGUGCCAGCAGCCGCGGUAAU
Molecule: ribosomal RNA, 174 nt
Filed under: uncultured bacterium
Lineage: Bacteria
Description: partial 16S ribosomal RNA
Rfam family: Bacterial small subunit ribosomal RNA
Source: RNAcentral